GAUGAACGCUGGCGGCGUGCCUAAUACAUGCAAGUAGAACGCUGAAGGAGGAGCUUGCUCUUCUGGAUGAGUUGCGCACGGGUGAGUAACGCGUAGGUAACCUGCCUGUUAGCGGGGGAUAACAAUUGGAAACGAUAGCUAAUACCGCAGGACAACAGUUAUUGCAUGAUAACUGUUUAAAAGGGGCAACUGCUCCACUACCAGAUGGACCUGCGUUGUAUUAGCUAGUUGGUGAGGUAACGGCUCACUAAGGCGACGAUACAUAGUCGACCUGGGAGGGGGAACGGCCAAACUGGGAACGAGACACGGCCCAGAAUCCUACGGGAGGGAGCAGGAGGGGAAUUUUGGGAAAGGACGGAAGGCUGAACGAGGCAAGCCGGGGGAGGGGAGAAGGGUGUCGGAUCGGAAAGCUUGGUUGUAAGGGAAGAAAGAGAGUGGGAAUGGAAAGUUCACACUGUGACGGUAUCUUAUCAGAAAGGCACGGCUAACUACGUG
Molecule: ribosomal RNA, 495 nt
Filed under: uncultured bacterium
Lineage: Bacteria
Description: partial 16S ribosomal RNA
Rfam family: Bacterial small subunit ribosomal RNA
Source: RNAcentral